UGGGGUGUGGCUCAGGGGGAGAGCACUUGCCUAACACGGCCUGGGUUCAAUCCCCAGCACCGCAA
Molecule: transfer RNA, 65 nt
Filed under: Ictidomys tridecemlineatus (thirteen-lined ground squirrel)
Lineage: Eukaryota; Metazoa; Chordata; Mammalia; Rodentia; Sciuridae
Description: Spermophilus tridecemlineatus (thirteen-lined ground squirrel) tRNA
Rfam family: tRNA
About the family: Transfer RNA (tRNA) molecules are approximately 80 nucleotides in length. Their secondary structure includes four short double-helical elements and three loops (D, anti-codon, and T loops).
Source: Rfam by way of RNAcentral